Molecule: non-coding RNA, 1023 nt
Organism: Misgurnus anguillicaudatus (oriental weatherfish)
Lineage: Eukaryota; Metazoa; Chordata; Actinopteri; Cypriniformes; Cobitidae
Source: RefSeq, a predicted model, not a curated record
GUGACAUCAUCAAAAGGCCCCCUGAAGACCAUGUGGUGAUUCAGCAAGAUGCCCACAAACAAAGAAAAAGUUUCUAGGCACUGGCAGAAAGUUAAUGCAGACCCAGUAGCUAGGGCAAUGCAUUUAGCAAGGAGACGAGAAAGCAACCAGAGAAGAAAGCAAGCUGCCUUGGCUGCAAAUCCUGAUCACCCGUCAAUCAGGAAUUUAUCAGAUGCUGCAGCUGAGAAGAGGCGAAAGCAAUGGCGGGAAAAUCAAAGAAAACACAGGGCAGAAGCUAAACGUAUAAGGGCAGUUCUGGAUCUUAUUAUACAGUAUUACCACCUGUUCAGUUAAUUUUUACGAAUAUGAUAUGCAUUAUGGAAUAAAAAUGAUUAUUCAUUUCAGCAUCUACUUAUGUGAUUUGUUAAGGAAUAAAAUGAUACAGAAUAAUAUUCAAAACAUUGCAAUAAUGGAAACAAUGACACUAUUUUUGUCAAAAAUGUCAUUCAGUGUAACAAACCAUGGUCAUUCGGUGUAACACAUAUAUUUAUGUAGAAAUGAAACAAUAUACUUAUUCUGAGCUGUACUUAUUAAAAUAUGUAUAAUAAUGUGUGAUCCUUCAAAAAUUUUAUUUGAUUUGAAUUGAUUUUCACUUCCUUACAAAAACUUCUUGCUGACAAAUGGGUAAAAUCUAAUGGUUUAAAGGAUAUUGGCGAAGUAAAAUGCUUUAAAAUGACAAAUAGUUAGUAUUUGGUGUCUGCACUGUGAUCUAUAAAUAGAGUCUUGUAAUGUGUCAUCAAAUAAUAGUUUUUCUAAAAAUGUCUGAUAAUAUUUUUUUGCAUAAAAAUAUUGUUACACUGAAUGACAUUUUAGUUGGUGUCUUCUGUACAAUUCCAGUAAAAAUGUAUGGUAGUAAUUAUUUUUUGCUCAGAAAAACAUAUAGUUAAACAGGACAUAUUCUAAUGUAUGUGAAAAAGACUAAAUUUAAAGCUCUUUUACACUUUUAUUUUUUUUAUGCUUUAAACCCCCUUUUCGUCUUUGACC